GUGGGGAAUAUUGGACAAUGGGCGAAAGCCUGAUCCAGCCAUGCCGCGUGUGUGAAGAAGGUCUUCGGAUUGUAAAGCACUUUAAGUUGGGAGGAAGAGCAGUAAGUUAAUACCUUGCUGUUUUGACGUUACCGACAGAAUAAGCACCGGCUAACUUCGUGCCAGCAGCCGCGGUAAUACGAAGGGUGCAAGCGUUAAUCGGAAUUACUGGGCGUAAAGCGCGCGUAGGUGGUUUUGUAAGUUGGAGGUGAAAUCCCCGGGCUCAACCUGGGAACUGCCUCCAAAACUGCAUGACUAGAGUACGGUAGAGGGUAGUGGAAUUUCCUGUGUAGCGGUGAAAUGCGUAGAUAUAGGAAGGAACACCAGUGGCGAAGGCGACUACCUGGACUGAUACUGACACUGAGGUGCGAAAGCGUGGGGAGCAAACAGGAUUAGAAACCCUAGUAGUCC
This 450-nucleotide ribosomal RNA is filed under the name uncultured bacterium. RNAcentral describes it as "partial 16S ribosomal RNA". It matches the Rfam family "Bacterial small subunit ribosomal RNA", at positions 354 to 796 of the family's 1533-position model. The record is from RNAcentral.